GACGAACGCUGGCGGCGUGCUUAACACAUGCAAGUCGAACGGAGCGAAUGAAAGCUUGCUUUUAUGAGCUUAGUGGCAAACGGGUGAGUAACACGUAGACAACCUGCCGACAGGAUGGGGACAACAUUCCGAAAGGAAUGCUAAUACCGAAUGAAGCGGAGGAGAGGCAUCUCUCCUCCGUGAAAGAUGGCCUCUAUUUAUAAGCUAUCACCUGUCGAUGGGUCUGCGUCUGAUUAGCUAGUUGGUGAGGUAACGGCUCACCAAGGCGACGAUCAGUAGCCGGUCUGAGAGGAUGAACGGCCACAUUGGGACUGAGACACGGCCCAGACUCCUACGGGAGGCAGCAGUGGGGAAUCUUCCGCAAUGGGCGCAAGCCUGACGGAGCAACGCCGCGUGAGUGAAGAAGGUCUUCGGAUCGUAAAGCUCUGUUGAUGGGGACGAAUGUACGGAGUGCGAAUAGUGCUCUGUAAUGACGGUACCAUCG
RNAcentral lists this ribosomal RNA (484 nucleotides) under Centipeda infelix. Its description in RNAcentral is "bacterial SSU rRNA". It matches the Rfam family "Bacterial small subunit ribosomal RNA", at positions 28 to 484 of the family's 1533-position model. The record is from RNAcentral. Lineage: Bacteria; Bacillati; Bacillota; Negativicutes; Selenomonadales; Selenomonadaceae.